UACGUAGGGUCCGAGCGUUGUCCGGAGUUACUGGGCGUAAAGCGCGCGCAGGCGGCGGUGUUGGCCCGGCGUGAAAGCCCCCGGCUCAACCGGGGAGAGUCGUCGGGGACCGCACCGCUUGAGGGCGGUAGGGGCUGGUGGAAUGCCUGGUGUAGUGGUGAAAUGCGUAGAGAUCGGCAGGAACACCCAGGGGGAAACCAGCGGACUGGCUCGUUGCUGACACUGAGGUGCGACAGCGUGGGGAGCGAACGGG
This 253-nucleotide ribosomal RNA is filed under the name uncultured bacterium. Its description in RNAcentral is "partial 16S ribosomal RNA". It matches the Rfam family "Bacterial small subunit ribosomal RNA", at positions 524 to 776 of the family's 1533-position model. The record is from RNAcentral.